CAAAGUGUAGCUUAACUCAAAGCAUCUGGCCUACACCCAGAAGAAUUCAUACUAUGAACUCUUUGA
Molecule: transfer RNA, 66 nt
Filed under: Meriones libycus (Libyan jird)
Lineage: Eukaryota; Metazoa; Chordata; Mammalia; Rodentia; Muridae
Description: tRNA-Val
Source: RNAcentral